This 498-nucleotide ribosomal RNA is filed under the name uncultured bacterium. Its description in RNAcentral is "partial 16S ribosomal RNA". It matches the Rfam family "Bacterial small subunit ribosomal RNA", at positions 30 to 523 of the family's 1533-position model. The record is from RNAcentral.
AUUGAACGCUGGCGGCAUGCCUUACACAUGCAAGUCAAACGGUAACAGGUCUUCGGAUGCUGACGAGUGGCGAACGGGUGAGUAAUACAUCGGAACGUGCCUAGUAGUGGGGGAUAACUACUCGAAAGAGUGGCUAAUACCGCAUGAGAUCUACGGAUGAAAGCAGGGGAUCGCAAGACCUUGUGCUACUAGAGCGGCCGAUGGCAGAUUAGGUAGUUGGUGGGAUAAAAGCUUACCAAGCCGACGAUCUGUAGCUGGUCUGAGAGGACGAUCAGCCACACUGGGACUGAGACACGGCCCAGACUCCUACGGGAGGCAGCAGUGGGGAAUUUUGGACAAUGGGCGCAAGCCUGAUCCAGCAAUGCCGCGUGCAGGAUGAAGGCCUUCGGGUUGUAAACUGCUUUUGUACGGAACGAAAAGCCCCGGGUUAAUACCCUGGGGUCAUGACGGUACCGUAAGAAUAAGCACCGGCUGACUACGUGCCAGCCGCCGCGGUAA